RNAcentral lists this transfer RNA (84 nucleotides) under Anatilimnocola aggregata. RNAcentral's name for it is "Planctomycetes bacterium ETA_A8 tRNA-Leu". It matches the Rfam family "tRNA". From Rfam's summary of the family: Transfer RNA (tRNA) molecules are approximately 80 nucleotides in length. Their secondary structure includes four short double-helical elements and three loops (D, anti-codon, and T loops). Further hydrogen bonds mediate the characteristic L-shaped molecular structure. tRNAs have two regions of fundamental functional importance: the anti-codon, which is responsible for specific mRNA codon recognition, and the 3' end, to which the tRNAs corresponding amino acid is attached (by aminoacyl-tRNA synthetases). tRNAs cope with the degeneracy of the genetic code in two manners: having more than one tRNA (with a specific anti-codon) for a particular amino acid; and 'wobble' base-pairing, i.e. permitting non-standard base-pairing at the 3rd anti-codon position. The record is from RNAcentral. Lineage: Bacteria; Pseudomonadati; Planctomycetota; Planctomycetia; Pirellulales; Pirellulaceae.
GCCAGAGUGGCGGAAUGGCAGACGCGCUGGAUUCAAAAUCCUGUAUCCGCAAGGGUGUGUGGGUUCGACUCCCACCUCUGGUAC